ACGGGAGGCAGCAGUGGGGAAUAUUGCACAAUGGGGGAAACCCUGAUGCAGCGACGCCGCGUGAGUGAAGAAGUAUUUCGGUAUGUAAAGCUCUAUCAGCAGGGACGAAAAUGACGGUACCUGACUAAGAAGCCCCGGCUAACUACGUGCCAGCAGCCGCGGUAAUACGUAGGGGGCAAGCGUUGUCCGGAAUUACUGGGUGUAAAGGGAGCGUAGGCGGGAUUGCAAGUCAGAUGUGAAAACUACGGGCUCAACCUGUAGACUGCAUUUGAAACUGUAGUUCUUGAGUGAAGUAGAGGUAAGCGGAAUUCCUAGUGUAGCGGUGAAAUGCGUAGAUAUUAGGAGGAACAUCGGUGGCGAAGGCGGCUUACUGGGCUUUUACUGACGCUGAGGCUCGAAAGCGUGGGGAGCAAACAGGAUUAGAUACCCUGGUA
This 434-nucleotide ribosomal RNA is filed under the name uncultured Lachnospiraceae bacterium. Its description in RNAcentral is "bacterial SSU rRNA". It matches the Rfam family "Bacterial small subunit ribosomal RNA", at positions 341 to 792 of the family's 1533-position model. The record is from RNAcentral. Lineage: Bacteria; Bacillati; Bacillota; Clostridia; Lachnospirales; Lachnospiraceae.